GCCGAAAAUCCCAGUAACUCAGAUGAAUCUUGAUGCUGUGAAGCAGGAGUAUAUUUUGCGCUCCUCUCUCGAACCAGUCCAAUCUCAGCAUAAGAAUCCAAUGUCUGAGGACUAGAAGAUUCUCUUUUAUCUGCUGACUGAAGCUCAGUUGCUGUACCAGAAUCUGGAGAAUUAGACUCUGAACUUCGGACCUGGUCAUCAAGUAAAUCGACCUGCCUGCUGCCAGAGGCAUCUUCAGUAGAAAUCUCCAGAGCAGAUACUGACUGACUGGCUGAUGAUUCUCCGUUCAGU
This 291-nucleotide unclassified non-coding RNA is filed under the name Hevea brasiliensis (rubber tree). Lineage: Eukaryota; Viridiplantae; Streptophyta; Magnoliopsida; Malpighiales; Euphorbiaceae. The record is from RNAcentral.